Dreissena polymorpha is the source of this 466-nucleotide long non-coding RNA. RefSeq lists it as uncharacterized. NCBI's taxonomy places the organism in Eukaryota, Metazoa, Mollusca, Bivalvia, Myida, Dreissenidae. The transcript is spliced from 2 exons. The record is from RefSeq and is a predicted model, not a curated record.
AUGCAUGCUGUACAAGAUACUGUAGAGCAACAUUAUAUUGUUUGAGUACUGAAUAGAUAAUUCAAGGUGCACAGCCAUUAAUUUUGCCCUCCACCAUCUCCGAUUUUGGUUAGACAGUUGCAAGUUACUUGCAUUAGUAUGAAGUCUUAAAAUAACUUAAGUAUAAUUGCUGUUGUGUUAUUAUUAACCUUUUCCUGCUCUGAGGAAAUUUUAAAGUUUCUACAUGCAAACAUCAUAAAACCAGAACAGCCUGCAAGUAACUCACAAUCUGUUCAGGUUUUAUGCUGUUUGCUGCUCAUCAGUAUCCAUGGGUUGGAAACAAAGCCUUUAAAACUUUAAUAUAGUAAGAAAGGUGUUAAAUUAAAUUUAUUCUCGAAUGUGUCUUAGUGCGUUUUUGAGUGGUACAGGGUUAAAUGUCUCAUUUUGUUUUUGAUUAUCUUUGGUUUAUUGAACAUAUAUGAGCCUU